RNAcentral lists this ribosomal RNA (119 nucleotides) under Bison bison bison. Lineage: Eukaryota; Metazoa; Chordata; Mammalia; Artiodactyla; Bovidae. The record is from RNAcentral.
GUCUCCGGCCAUAUCAGCCUGAAGGCGCCCGAUCUCGUCUGAUCUCGGAAGCUAAGCAGGGUCGGGCCUGGUUAGUACUUGGAUGGGAGACCACCUGGGAAUACCGGGUGCUGUAGGCU